This 1662-nucleotide long non-coding RNA is filed under the name Ananas comosus (pineapple). Its description in RNAcentral is "long non-coding RNA (ACOM_LNC007020)". The record is from RNAcentral. Lineage: Eukaryota; Viridiplantae; Streptophyta; Magnoliopsida; Poales; Bromeliaceae.
AUAAAAUAUUAGAUUAAUUGCAUAUACAUCCCUACGAACAUGAUGAAUUGCAUAUAUAUUUUUGUAAAGCUCAACUUUCAUAAGUUAUUCCUACAAAAGUUAUAAUGUAUUCAGAUAUAUCACUGCCGUUAGGGUCCGUUAUAAAAAUUUCGUUAACCACAGUUAAAAUACUUAACUAUGGUAAAUUAAUAAUAUGAAUUGAUAAUUUUGCCCUUCUUCCCUUUCCUCUUCCUCUCCUGCUUCUUCUUCUUCCUCUUCUUCUCCAUAUCCUCCUUUUCCUCCUCCUUUUCUCCUCCUUCUUCUUCUUUUUCAUCGUCGUCGUCGAUAAUCCGAUCGUCAUCGUCGUCAUCGUGGUGCCCGCAUGGGUCGUCGUCACGGGCGCCUCCGACGACAUCGGCCGCGCCUUCGCCUUCCGCCUCUUCCUCGCCCUCGUUGGCCGCAACCCCGACAAGCUCCGCAAGGUCACCGUCGCUGUCGCCGCCAUCCGCUCCCGCAGCCUGAAGAGGAAGAGGAAGAGGAAGAGCGCAAGAGCAAAAUUAUCAUUUCACACCUCUACUGUUAAAAAAUUAAUAACUCUCUAACGGAUCCUAACCACAGAGAUAUAUCUGAAUACAUUAGGGGAGUGUUUGGUUCGCUUCUUUUUCACUCUGGAAUACGAGCGCAAGAGGGAGUGUUUGGUUCGCUUCUUUUUCACUCUGGAAUCGAAAUCGGAAUGGGCGAAUCCGUUUGUGGGUGUUUGGUACGCAGGAGUUCCAUUCCGAUUCCGAUUCCUAAGUGGAAUGAGAAUCCCGAAUCACCUUUUUUCUAAUCCGGCCUAGGAGGCCGGAUUGGAAGUUGAAUCCGGAUAAAAUAGAUAUUUAUUCGGAUUAAAUUUAUUUUUUCAAAUUUUUUAAUUAAAAUAUGAGUUUAAAUUUAGAAUUUUAAUUUUAAAUUUAAAUUUGAACUUGAAAUAAAAAUUAAAAUUUAAUCAAGUAUUUAGAAUCUAAUUUAUAAAUUUGAAUUUAAAUUAAAUUUUAAUUUAUAUAAAGUUUUAUUCAAAUUUUAUUUAAAACUUAAAUUUAAUUUCUGGAUUCAAAUUAAAAUUUAAAUUGUAAUUUUAAGUUUGAAUUUGAAUAAAUCGAAAUUUAGUUUUAUAUUUUGAAUUAUCUACUCAACUUCAAAGUUUAAUUUUUUUAAAAAAAAUAGAUUAAAAAUUUUGACAUUAUUUCAAAAUUUUGAUGUAAAUUUUUAAUAUUUAAUUUUUAAUUUAAAUUUAAAUUAAUAUAUUAUAAAAAUAAAGUUAAUAUAUUAAUCUGAUUACGUUUUUUAUAUUUAUCUGAACCAAACACCGACAAUGGGAAUGAUUUAUUCCGUUUCUGAUUCAGGUGAUGAACUAAAUAGAAUUAGAUAAUGAGUCAUUCCGAUUCCGAUUCCAGCUUAUUUCUAUUCCGAUUCUGAUUCCGAUUCGGACUUCGAACCAAACACGCAGGACUUUUACAGGAAUAACUUAUGAAAGUUGAGCUUUAUAGAAAUUUAUCUGUAAUUCAUCAUAUUUGCAAGAACGAAUAUGCAAUUAACCCUAAAAUAUAUAUAUAUCCAAAUGCAGCUUUCAACUAUAUAUAUUAAAAAAAUUAUGCGAUUACUUUAUUUUUAAUUGAAUACCGCAAAACAGAUAUACAUAAU